This is a long non-coding RNA of Phyllopteryx taeniolatus (common seadragon), 367 nucleotides long. RefSeq lists it as uncharacterized. The record is from RefSeq and is a predicted model, not a curated record. The transcript has 3 exons. NCBI's taxonomy places the organism in Eukaryota, Metazoa, Chordata, Actinopteri, Syngnathiformes, Syngnathidae.
GACGAAUUAUGGCUCUGAAGGCGAAGACACCUUGCUGCUGGAGGACACUGAGUGGACACUUUACCUCGCAUUUUCAACAGAGAUUACAUGAAACUGAACUGUGAGCUGCAAGCACUUCUUUGGCCGCGGACCUGACACCAAUCAGCCCUUGUUACCACCUGCACUUAAGCCUGCCUGACUCCGGAAAUCCUCGCCAGUGUAUUGAAGUUCUGGAAGGUGUUCCCUCCGUGUUCCUCGCCAAGUGGAUUUCUGCCACCACCCCACCAAGCCAGCCCCGUGUCCUCGUCACCCCCUGCCACACGUUCUCUGCCUCAACAACCCGCCAGCACAUUCCAAGGACCCUCUCCCUUCCCCUUUUUUCAAUAAA